GACGAACGCUGGCGGCGUGCCUAACACAUGCAAGUCGAGCGGAGAUAAGCGGAUGGUAACUGAAGUUUGUCUUAGCGGCGGACGGGUGAGUAACACGUGGGCAACCUGCCUUGGAGUGGGGGAUAACACCGGGAAAUCGGUGCUAAUACCGCAUAACAUACACAUACUGCAUGGUGAGUGUAUCAAAGGAGCAAUCCGCUUUAAGAUGGGCCCGCGGCUGAUUAGCUAGUUGGUAAGGUAACGGCUUACCAAGGCGACGAUCAGUAGCCGACCUGAGAGGGUGACCGGCCACACUGGAACUGAGACACGGUCCAGACUCCUACGGGAGGCAGCAGUGGGGAAUAUUGCGCAAUGGGGGAAACCCUGACGCAGCAACGCCGCGUGGAGGAAGAAGGUCUUCGGAUUGUAAACUCCUGUCUUCUGGGACGAAGUAUGACGGUACCAGAGGAGGAAGCCACGGCUAACUACGUG
RNAcentral lists this ribosomal RNA (471 nucleotides) under uncultured bacterium. RNAcentral describes it as "bacterial SSU rRNA". It matches the Rfam family "Bacterial small subunit ribosomal RNA", at positions 28 to 507 of the family's 1533-position model. The record is from RNAcentral.